AUUGAACGCUGGCGGCAGGCCUAACACAUGCAAGUCGAGCGCGAAAGUUCUUCGGAAUGAGUAAAGCGGCGGACGGGUGAGUAAUACAUGGGAAUCUGCCUGGUAGUGGGGGACAACGUUUCGAAAGGAACGCUAAUACCGCAUACGCCCUACGGGGAAAGGGGGGAUCUUCGGACCUCUCGCUAUCAGAUGAGCCCACG
This 200-nucleotide ribosomal RNA is filed under the name uncultured bacterium. RNAcentral describes it as "partial 16S ribosomal RNA". It matches the Rfam family "Bacterial small subunit ribosomal RNA", at positions 30 to 235 of the family's 1533-position model. The record is from RNAcentral.